GACGAACGCUGGCGGCGUGCUUAACACAUGCAAGUCGAACGGUAAGGCCCUUCGGGGUACACGAGUGGCGAACGGGUGAGUAACACGUGGGUGAUCUGCCCUGCACUUCGGGAUAAGCCUGGGAAACUGGGUCUAAUACCGGAUAGGACCACUGCCUGCAUGGGUGGUGGUGGAAAGCUUUUGCGGUGUGGGAUGGGCCCGCGGCCUAUCAGCUUGUUGGUGGGGUGAUGGCCUACCAAGGCGACGACGGGUAGCCGGCCUGAGAGGGUGACCGGCCACACUGGGACUGAGAUACGGCCCAGACUCCUACGGGAGGCAGCAGUGGGGAAUAUUGCACAAUGGGCGCAAGCCUGAUGCAGCGACGCCGCGUGAGGGAUGACGGCCUUCGGGUUGUAAACCUCUUUCAGCACCGACGAAGCGCAAGUGACGGUAGGUGCAGAAGAAGGACCGGCCAACUACGUGCCAGCCGCCGUAAUAC
RNAcentral lists this ribosomal RNA (478 nucleotides) under uncultured bacterium. RNAcentral describes it as "partial 16S ribosomal RNA". It matches the Rfam family "Bacterial small subunit ribosomal RNA", at positions 28 to 526 of the family's 1533-position model. The record is from RNAcentral.